RNAcentral lists this long non-coding RNA (1527 nucleotides) under Marmota monax (woodchuck). Lineage: Eukaryota; Metazoa; Chordata; Mammalia; Rodentia; Sciuridae. The record is from RNAcentral.
GUUGGCUUGCCCAGGGGUGUGUAGGGCCCAGAACCCAGCAGCCAGAGGCGCUGGCUCUGUCUGGUGCCUGUCCUGUGUCCUUGGUCACUGGUGACUCCACACACUGCUGGGAGGGGGGACAGGAAAGGAAGCUGGGUGGGGCUAUAGGUCCUGACCUCGGGAGACAGCAGGAAAUGGCCCCUCCCUUGGGAUGGCCACAUGGCCUGCUAGUCCUCCCCUCCCCCUCCCAUCUGCCAACCACCACCUUGGAGAACCCCACGUCUCCCCAGCGCCACCCCACCCCACUCCAAUUGCCCUGUCUCCCAGGGGAAGGGCCCUGGGGUCAGCACACUCAGGUUCUAGUCUAGCUCCUUCAAAGAUGGCAGACAUCAGGCAGAGGGCACCCUGAGCCGGUGGGUGGCAUGGUGUCUGGGCCCCAGAGAUCCCAGGUCAAGGGCACGUUAGGUCCUCUCAGCUCAGAACCCUGGUUCCUGUGGCUCAGGCGGGAUGCCCCAAGAGAUGGCAGGAGCCAGACCUGCUCCCCUGUGGACGUCUGCCUGUCCUUCAUGCCUCAGCCUUCUCCUGGCACUGGUGGGCCCCUGGGCCCCUGGGGCUGGUGGUGUCCUUCCACUGAAGGCCAGGAGGCUGGGGCUGGGCAGCUGGCCGCUCAGCUGAAGCUGGGCUGCCAUCAGCCCUAUGUGCCCUCUCUUACCUGCACCGAGAGGCGUCACGGCUUGAAGGUCACAGGUAACCUGAAAGGCCUUAGGAUACACCCAGGCUGUACCCCGUCUCUCCACAGUGGAUGCAGACCGGGGAGGUGAACUGGGCUGACCUGCAGGUGGGUGUCCCGCUCUCCCCGCAUCUGGCAGGGGGCUGUAGAGGAUCACCCCAGGGCCUCCCCAUCUUCCCCUGGAAGCCCCCCAAGGGCCUCUCUCCCCUCCUGUCCUUGGGUAGUACCAUCUCUGGCUCAUAGGGGGCGCUGAGGCCCCGCGGCUGGCUUCCCGCCUGCCCAAACCCUGAAAAAUGCGGCUCGUGAUCUGCAAACGCUGGGGCUGUGUGUUUUUCCAAUCAAUAGAAGAUGCUCAGUCCCUGAGAUGUCGCUCCCAGAGUCUUCACACAUCUGCAUCGGAAGGAUUCCAAAUGCAAAGUCUUUUCCUGUUGAAGAAAAAAAUGUAAAAGGAGAAAGGGAGAAUUUGCCUGACAGAUUAGAAAAUUUUCCACUUCCCAGCCUUUGAACAAAGUAUUUGUGCUUCUUCUUGCCAAUUACCAGGCUGCAAAAGGGGAGCGGGGCAGGCCUGAGCGGGCGGCGGCGCGCUGAGCCCCAGGAAGAGCCUUCAGGUUCCUGCAGGCAGGCGGGGCAGCAGGUGCCCGUGCAGGCCCUGGAGGUCGGUCCAGCCCUGCCUCCCUCAUGUUUGACCUUGGUAAGACUUGGCCGGUGAGCCCAGCUCUCGGGGCCAGGCUGAGAGGGGGCUGUGUUCAGUUCUCAUGGCAGGCGUGCGGGGAAGGUCAAGGCAUUUUAUCUAAAACACAGAGCAUCUACAAAUAAAC